Molecule: unclassified non-coding RNA, 370 nt
Filed under: soil metagenome
Description: partial contains 5.8S ribosomal RNA, internal transcribed spacer 2, and large subunit ribosomal RNA
Rfam family: 5.8S ribosomal RNA (bases 1-120)
Source: RNAcentral
GAUGAAGAACGUAGCGAAAUGCGAUAAGUAAUGUGAAUUGCAGAAUUCAGUGAAUCAUCGAAUUUUUGAACGCAUCUUGCGCUCCUUGGUAUUCCAAGGAGCAUGCCUGUUUGAGUGUCAUGAAGUUCUCAACCACAUAAUAUUUUUUUGUGUGGCUUGGAUUGGUGGGGGGUUAUUGCCGGCUUUCAUUAGUGGGCUCUCCUUAAAUAUAUAAGUGGUAUCUUGAAAAGCUACAAGUUGGGUGUUAUAAGUUAAUAAUACACCGUAUGGCGAUUCUACUAUGCUGCUUCGAACAGAUUUAUUUUAAUGAUUUUGACCUCAAAUCAGGUAGGACUACCCGCUGAACUUAAGCAUAUCAAUAAGCGGAGGA